This is a long non-coding RNA of Bombyx mori (domestic silkworm), 1460 nucleotides long. RefSeq lists it as uncharacterized. Lineage: Eukaryota; Metazoa; Arthropoda; Insecta; Lepidoptera; Bombycidae. The record is from RefSeq and is a predicted model, not a curated record. The transcript is spliced from 2 exons.
GUCACAACUACGACGCGUAGAGCAUUUUUUAACCUACCGAUUUUGUUCGGUUGUGCUUUGGAAUUUUUGUGUUUGUGUUUUUUCUUUUAAAAUGUCGAGUUCAGAAAGUGAUAACGAAGUUUUAAUGUUACUGAAUUCAAGCGACGAUUCAAGUGAUGAUACGCGAAGUAAUAGAGUGCAUAAAACAAGAAUCAAUUAUUAUUCAGAGCUCGAUAAUCAGGAGUUUCAACUAAGAUUUCGGCUCGACAAGCAGUCUGUGCAAUUACUGUUAGGUGAAAUUUAUCCUUUUUUAAAGGAAUCAUGGAAUAUCUCCCUUACAUUACAAUUUAUCAGUUUUUUUUGGUAUUUUGGCGCGGUCCGGCCGACAUCUGGCGUUUCCUUUGUCUCUUCAUGGCGUUUUGUUCACUUUACAGUUAAAACUAAAGUAUAAUAGCCGGCAAACUUCUUGAGCAUUUGUCGACGUAGUGGGGGUAAGUUCGCGCAUGGUACACUCACGUGCAAAAACAAUAUUUACUCUGCGUCAUAAUGCUAUUAAAUUAUUAAAAUCAAUAUAUUAUGUAUUUAAUAUAGGUUAAUAAUUGUAAUAAUUUAAUCUUGGGGUAAAAUAGAUUUUCCUUCUAUUAAGUCAAAACUAGAGCUGUUGCCAGGUCUUGGUUCAGUUGAAGCGAAGCUGGUAUUUGUAAUUUUUUUUUCGUUAUCAUAAUCUUGACCAUCAUCAUCAUCACUGUUUUCAUCACCCGAGUCGCUAUCAUCGUGAUGAGUCGACAUAGGGCUCAUCGGUGUAGUUUACAACUCGGUCGGUUCGGUCUUCUUUUUUGUCUAUAAUUAAUUAUUUUUUGAAGAUAUUCGAUUCGUAGUAAUCGAAUGUUACUUUUUUCAAUUACCAGCUUCCGAUUACUUUCUGUUUUUUUUCCCAUCAUUCUUCAUUCCGAGCCAUUAAAAUUUAUAUCUUCUUUAAAUUUUUCGAAGCCUUUCUACGAUACGGAGUUUCGCUGCCUGUUAUGUAGUUAUUAUGAUAACAUCUUUUUAUUACAGAUUGAACGAAACUAUCCAUUCCGGUAACUUUCUUCUUCCCUGAUCUUUUCUUACCCGGAGUCCGAAACACGGCGAGCAAGCCAGAGUCUUUAGCUUCGUUAAUAAUGCACCUAGCAGUACUCACUGAUGUUUUUCUUGCUUCCGAAGUCUGUUUUACUUUUUCCAUAUCAUUCUUCUCCUGUUUUAUAAUGAAGCAAUAUACGUCGUACACAAUUUUUUCUACCCUUUCUUUUGAAUACUACGCCAUAGUGUAUUUUUAAUAAAAAAUCAACAAACACUCAACAUAUAGCAAUGGCAACAAAGUCAACAAGCAAUUAUAACAAAAUAUAACUUAACGAUUAAUAACGAUAGACUUUUUACUGUACGCAAGCGUACUUUUGGGAGCAAGCGGAACGAGGGCGCGGUGCGGGACGCAAGGUUCGACU